AGAUCCCAAGGAGACAGACUCAAGGGCAAUUCCUAGCCCCAUGAGCAAAGGCAGAGAUGCCCGUAACCUGUUCAGUAAGCCGUCUACACAGGCGCCGUGACGACUCCAGCGUAGCUCUCCUCCCUCCAUCCUCCUUCCCAGCUGAAGCGUUUGCUCGGAAGUAAGAAGCUUUUCCCCGCUUUUGGGAAUUCUUUGAAGACAUUUGUCUGGUCCUACUGCACUGAUACAACAUUAGAAAGAGGGAGAGAGAGAAUGGGCAUGCCAGGGCCUCCAGCCACUGCAAACGAACUC
Jaculus jaculus (lesser Egyptian jerboa) is the source of this 291-nucleotide long non-coding RNA. RefSeq lists it as uncharacterized. The record is from RefSeq and is a predicted model, not a curated record. The transcript has 4 exons. NCBI's taxonomy places the organism in Eukaryota, Metazoa, Chordata, Mammalia, Rodentia, Dipodidae.